CUCCAUUAGGCUUUGGGAUGCCUUAUGGGACAGGAGGGCCAGGGAAGGAGGGAAAAGCCAGAAGGAGAUGACUUGGCCACAUUUCCAUAGCUAGGAAAUAAUUUCUUUCGACCUCAGUUGUCUCAUUUAAAAUGACAAGAAUUGGACUAUAUCAUCCCUAAGUUCCCUUCCAAGUCAAGAUUUCUGUGAAAUGAGGCAAGUCAUUGAGGAUGACGACAUUUGGAAGUCAAAUUUAGAGCAUUCCUUUCGCCUGACAUAAUCUGUAUGCAAAGAACUCACUUCAGCAGAAGGCUGAGUAAAAUUGCAUUUUCUGCCUUUGUUUGGAUGGUUGAUUACAAGAGAACAUCAGCACUGGUGAAAAGAAGAGAGGUCCUGUCGGAGAGCUACUGAACCAUCUGAGAGAAGACAAGGAGUAAAUGAAAUGCAGUGAAAUGCAGAGGUGGGGGGAAUCCACUCCAGUAAUUCUUUGGCACAAUGAAUGACUCUCAGGGAAGGAUGAAGAGGAGGGAUAUAAAAGGAAAUCUGGGCAAUGUAAAAGCAAAAGAUAUCAAUACAAAUCUAUUUAAAUAAAUAGAAAAAU
Non-coding RNA from Monodelphis domestica (gray short-tailed opossum), 580 nucleotides. Lineage: Eukaryota; Metazoa; Chordata; Mammalia; Didelphimorphia; Didelphidae. The record is from RefSeq and is a predicted model, not a curated record.